CCGGACGAUUCAGUGGCAUGAUUUGUCAGUGGGAUCAUUACACAAAUAUGAAGGCGGGCUGGAACCUCUCGGGGUUACAGCCUUGCUGAAUUAUUCACCCUUGUCUUUUGCGUACUUCUUGUUUCCUUGGUGGGUUCGCCCACCACUAGGACAAACAUAAACCUUUUGUAAUUGCAAUCAGCGUCAGUAACAAAUUAAUAAUUACAACUUUCAACAACGGAUCUCUUGGUUCUGGCAUCGAUGAAGAACGCAGCGAAAUGCGAUAAGUAGUGUGAAUUGCAGAAUUCAGUGAAUCAUCGAAUCUUUGAACGCACAUUGCGCCCUUUGGUAUUCCAAAGGGCAUGCCUGUUCGAGCGUCAUUUGUACCCUCAAGCUUUGCUUGGUGUUGGGCGUCUUGUCUCUAGCUUUGCUGGAGACUCGCCUUAAAGUAAUUGGCAGCCGGCCUACUGGUUUCGGAGCGCAGCACAAGUCGCACUCUCUAUCAGCAAAGGUCUAGCAUCCAUUAAGCCUUUUUUUCAACUUUUGACCUCGGAUCAGGUAGGGAUACCCGCUGAAC
This 556-nucleotide ribosomal RNA is filed under the name Alternaria brassicae. Its description in RNAcentral is "eukaryotic LSU rRNA". The stretch from base 206 to 359 matches the Rfam family "5.8S ribosomal RNA". The record is from RNAcentral. Lineage: Eukaryota; Fungi; Ascomycota; Dothideomycetes; Pleosporales; Pleosporaceae.